CACGUAGGGUGCGAGCGUUGUCCGGAAUUAUUGGGCGUAAAGCGUCCGUAGGUGGCUGUUCAAGUCUGCCGUUAAAGACCGGGGCUUAACCCUGGAAAGGCGGUGGAAACUGAGCGGCUAGAGUGCAGUAGGGGUAGAGGGAAUUCCCAGUGUAGCGGUGAAAUGCGUAGAGAUUGGGAAGAACACCGGUGGCGAAAGCGCUCUGCUGGACUGCAACUGACACUGAGGGACGAAAGCUAGGGGAGCGAAUGGG
This 253-nucleotide ribosomal RNA is filed under the name uncultured bacterium. Its description in RNAcentral is "partial 16S ribosomal RNA". It matches the Rfam family "Bacterial small subunit ribosomal RNA", at positions 524 to 776 of the family's 1533-position model. The record is from RNAcentral.